RNAcentral lists this ribosomal RNA (449 nucleotides) under uncultured organism. Its description in RNAcentral is "partial 16S ribosomal RNA". It matches the Rfam family "Bacterial small subunit ribosomal RNA", at positions 333 to 798 of the family's 1533-position model. The record is from RNAcentral.
ACACUCCUACGGGAGGCAGCAGUGGGGAAUAUUGGACAAUGGGCGCAAGCCUGAUCCAGCCAUGCCGCGUGAGUGAUGAAGGCCCUAGGGUUGUAAAGCUCUUUCACCGGUGAAGAUAAUGACGGUAACCGGAGAAGAAGCCCCGGCUAACUUCGUGCCAGCAGCCGCGGUAAUACGAAGGGGGCUAGCGUUGUUCGGAUUUACUGGGCGUAAAGCGCACGUAGGCGGACUAUUAAGUCAGGGGUGAAAUCCCGGGGCUCAACCCCGGAACUGCCUUUGAUACUGGUAGUCUUGAGUGCGAGAGAGGUGAGUGGAAUUCCGAGUGUAGAGGUGAAAUUCGUAGAUAUUCGGAGGAACACCAGUGGCGAAGGCGGCUCACUGGCUCGAUACUGACGCUGAGGUGCGAAAGCGUGGGGAGCAAACAGGAUUAGAUACCCUUGUAGUCCCAU